UCCGUAGGUGAACCUGCGGAAGGAUCAUUACAGAGUUCAUGCCCGAAAGGGUAGACCUCCCACCCUUGUGUAUUAUUACUUUGUUGCUUUGGCGAGCUGCCUUCGGGCCUUGUAUGCUCGCCAGAGAAUACCAAAACUCUUUUUAUUAAUGUCGUCUGAGUACUAUAUAAUAGUUAAAACUUUCAACAACGGAUCUCUUGGUUCUGGCAUCGAUGAAGAACGCAGCGAAAUGCGAUAAGUAAUGUGAAUUGCAGAAUUCAGUGAAUCAUCGAAUCUUUGAACGCACAUUGCGCCCCUUGGUAUUCCGGGGGGCAUGCCUGUUCGAGCGUCAUUUCAACCCUCAAGCUUAGCUUGGUAUUGAGUCUAUGUCAGUAAUGGCAGGCUCUAAAAUCAGUGGCGGCGCCGCUGGGUCCUGAACGUAGUAAUAUCUCUCGUUACAGGUUCUCGGUGUGCUUCUGCCAAAACCCAAAUUUUUCUAUGGUUGACCUCGGAUCAGGUAGGGAUACCCGCUGAACUUAAG
Molecule: ribosomal RNA, 520 nt
Filed under: Botrytis cinerea
Lineage: Eukaryota; Fungi; Ascomycota; Leotiomycetes; Helotiales; Sclerotiniaceae
Description: eukaryotic LSU rRNA
Rfam family: 5.8S ribosomal RNA (bases 178-331)
Source: RNAcentral